Molecule: non-coding RNA, 883 nt
Organism: Paramuricea clavata
Lineage: Eukaryota; Metazoa; Cnidaria; Anthozoa; Malacalcyonacea; Plexauridae
Source: the annotation of a GenBank genome assembly
UUUGUACCAACAAUUCACCUAAUGACAUCAUAUCUGGAAACUUUGACAGUGAAAAAGUUGAUCAAGACGAGGUUUUUUACUAUAAAGAUACAUUACAUUUCUUCUUAGAAUGACCCAAAUAUUACACAUACCAAAAAUCAUAGUCGCACUUUAAGAAAAAGUCAAACAUUCUUCUUCGACUGUACCUAAUUAUAUAACCAUUCUAAGAACACUUCGGAUUAAAAUAUUUCUGAUUCUUUUCUGAAGUGUUGAUAAUCACAAACUAAAACAGCGGGUUAAAAUGUGAUUCAGGGAUAGCGCUAAUCCAGCUUUGAACAACCGGUCCCAAUAAAUUUAACCAGAAAUAUUCAGUUAACCAAAUUCUCGGUUAACCAGAGAAUUUUAACCCGGGUGUUUUUAAGGCUCGUUUUACAGUUGCAAUUUUUGCUGCGAUUUUCUCUUCUCAUGGAUGUGAACAAUGGAGGAGUUAUGAAUGUUCAGAUUCACAACUCAUCUACUCGUUCACAUGCAUCAAAAGACCAAAAUCGUAAACGUGCCUUUACGGUGUAUUAGAUCCAAUAGACCUUUCCCCUUUUAAGUGAGAUUUUGAUCAAGACAAGCCUUGACAAAAUCGAUCACAGCUUGAUCACAGCUUGAAAAAGCAUCACAACAUUAGUAAUAUUCCAAAGUUUCGUUGCGAAAUGUUGUAAAAUGCGGAUAAUAUAGCCUUGCGAAGUUUGCCGUUUUUCAGUCAUUUAGAUUACAAAUAGGAAAUUUAUAAUCAGUUUGAUCAUCUGAUUAUCAAUUUCCCGUUUGUAAUCUAAAUGACUGAAAAACGGCAAACUACGCAAGGCUAUAUUAUCCGCAUUUUACAACAUUUCGCAACGAAACUUUGGAAUAUUAC